UGAUACAGGGGUUAAAGUGGCAUGAAUGCAGAUAGGACACACUAUCUGCACUCAUGUCACUUUAACCCCUGUAUCA
Molecule: non-coding RNA, 76 nt
Organism: Pelobates cultripes (western spadefoot toad)
Lineage: Eukaryota; Metazoa; Chordata; Amphibia; Anura; Pelobatidae
Source: the annotation of a GenBank genome assembly